This 253-nucleotide ribosomal RNA is filed under the name uncultured bacterium. RNAcentral's name for it is "partial 16S ribosomal RNA". It matches the Rfam family "Bacterial small subunit ribosomal RNA", at positions 524 to 776 of the family's 1533-position model. The record is from RNAcentral.
UACGUAGGGGGCAAGCGUUGUCCGGAAUCAUUGGGCGUAAAGCGCGCGCAGGCGGUCCUGUAAGUCCGCUGUGAAAGUCAAGGGCUCAACCCUUGAAUGCCGGUGGAUACUGCAGGGCUAGAGUCCGGAAGAGGCGAGUGGAAUUCCUGGUGUAGCGGUGAAAUGCGCAGAUAUCAGGAGGAACACCGAUGGCGAAGGCAGCUCGCUGGGACGGUACUGACGCUGAGGCGCGAAAGCGUGGGGAGCAAACAGG